AGAAAGAGAAAAAGAGGAGGAGUGCUCAUUGAAAAGUUGGAGGGUGGUAGUGGCGCGUGGCGCGAUCGCGGGUACGCAUGCGUGUACGCAGAGCUAGACGCAAUACAUAGUAGAUAUGCACGUGCACGACGUAACGCGUGUGAGCGAAGCUGUUCUCACGCGGCGACACGCGGCCACCAUCUCCCCAAUGCGCGUCGCCACGUGCCACCUCGAUGCACCCACGGAAAACUCAUAAUUGUCAUAACAUUCGAGCUGUGCUCGCUCGAAGGAACGCCAAUACCGGCUACUCGAUCUACGAAAGUCGUGUCGCAUCUUCGGGAUAUCAUUUUCGUCCUUCAUAAGGACAAGUUAAACGAUCCUAAAGUGGCGUCAUACGGACGACGUCACAAUGCACCAUUCCAAUUGCAUCGAUGACGUCAAACAAAACUACUUGCAUCUUGAAUUGUCCUGAAACUAGUUCGCUAUGCUGUAUAUCUACCAUACCAUAUGUACAUAAAUAUAUGUAGGAAGCAUGUACGAAAUUCGAUAUAAGUAACAACGUGAUAAAAUAAAAGAGAAAAAGAUGCUUGACGCAAAGAUGCGUGACGCAUCCUCGUAUCCCCUUUGCCUUGUCAGUUUUUAAUCUUCGUAUAUUCGAACAAGCAAAGUAACCAAAUCAUCAUGGCACGUGCCAAAUAUUUCCGACAGCGGUAUCUAACCACCCGCUUUUUUCACCCCGGUUAAACGUAAUACUUUGAACAUGGUUCGGUGACUCGACAAGCUAUACACGUACUUAAUCGUUCAAAGCAUAUCAGUAUUCUUAAAAAAAAAAGGGAAAAUCGAAUUUUCGGAAAAGAAACGGCAGUUGUAUAUUUUCAAAGAAGAAAAGAAUGUGGAAGGGAAGAAAGAGAAAGAAGAGGGUAUCGAUGAAAUAAAAAAGAGCGUGAUCAUUUUUAAAGGAAACAAUCGCCAAUAUCGAUAGAGUAACGAGCGACGCGUGCCGUGUCACGUGUCCCCCGAUGCUCGCUCAAACAUUAUACACGACAUGGCGUGCGCAAAAUAAGUCUCACCUAAUUGCGACGGCUGUUCCAUUAGAGAUUAAACUUCAAACGAGACUCGGUCAGAUUCGUUCGGUUAAUUAAGACAGCUCUCCCAAGUAUAACACCGUCUUUGUAUUCCCUUCCUUUCGUUCGGAGAGAGAAAACCGAUGAUAUCGUAUAUCCAACGAUUACCGCCCUACCUUCUGCCUUCCCGAAAAUCAUCAAUACGGUACCAUUGUCGUUCGAUCGCGUUAUAAUCGAUCGAACAAAAUUUCCUCGUG
This 1300-nucleotide unclassified non-coding RNA is filed under the name Bombus terrestris (buff-tailed bumblebee). RNAcentral describes it as "misc RNA ENSBTSG00005036313.1". The record is from RNAcentral. Lineage: Eukaryota; Metazoa; Arthropoda; Insecta; Hymenoptera; Apidae.